CGGUGCACUUACAGCUCAAACUGUGAAGCCAUAUUGUUGUAAGGUUGAUGAAAAAUGAGGUCAUGGCCUGUUUCAGUAUGAAGUGGGGGAAGGGGAAGCUUGCUUUCACCAAGAUCAAUCUGUACACUGUUGUCACAGAGAGUGUCCAGAAAACAUCAAAAGAGACGGGGCAAAUACUGCAGCAGCCACUGCCUUUUGUUUAAAAUAUGCCCCAGCAGAGCCGUCGCAAGGAGGGUGAGAGGCCCUGUGCAAAGUUGAUGUGCGAGGCCCACUACAAUUUUGCGUGUAU
This is a long non-coding RNA of Carassius auratus (goldfish), 289 nucleotides long. RefSeq lists it as uncharacterized. The record is from RefSeq and is a predicted model, not a curated record. The transcript is spliced from 4 exons. Lineage: Eukaryota; Metazoa; Chordata; Actinopteri; Cypriniformes; Cyprinidae.